UACGGAGGGUGCGAGCGUUAAUCGGAAUUACUGGGCGUAAAGGGUGCGUAGGUGGUUUGAUAAGUUAUCUGUGAAAGCCCUGGGCUCAACCUGGGAAGGCCAGAUAAGACUGUUAGACUUGAGUAUGGGAGAGGGUAGUGGAAUUUCCGGUGUAGCGGUGAAAUGCGUAGAGAUCGGAAGGAACACCAGUGGCGAAGGCGGCUACCUGGCCUAAUACUGACACUGAAGCACGAAAGCGUGGGGAGCAAACAGG
RNAcentral lists this ribosomal RNA (253 nucleotides) under uncultured bacterium. Its description in RNAcentral is "partial 16S ribosomal RNA". It matches the Rfam family "Bacterial small subunit ribosomal RNA", at positions 524 to 776 of the family's 1533-position model. The record is from RNAcentral.